UACGUAGGUACCGAACGUUGUCCGGAAUCACUGGGCGUAAAGGGUCCGUAGGCGGUUUGAUAAGUCUCAUAUGAAAACUUCAAGCUUAACUUGGAGAGGUUGUGAGAUACUGUCAAACUAGAGACUGUUAGAGGUAAGUGGAGUUCCAGGUGUAGUGGUGAAAUGCGUAGAUAUCUGGAGGAACACCAGUGGCGAAAGCGACUUACUGGGACAGUUCUGACGCUAAGGGACGAAAGCGUGGGGAGCGAAC
RNAcentral lists this ribosomal RNA (250 nucleotides) under uncultured bacterium. RNAcentral's name for it is "partial 16S ribosomal RNA". It matches the Rfam family "Bacterial small subunit ribosomal RNA", at positions 524 to 773 of the family's 1533-position model. The record is from RNAcentral.